GCGCGAAAACUUUACAAUGCUGGCAACAGCGAUAAGGGAACCUCGCGUGCCAGGUUACAAAUCUGGCCGUCGAGAUGCCUAAAAAGCAUUUCAUAGCAAGGGCCGGGCAAGACCGGUGCCAGCCGCCGCGGUAACACCGGCGGCUCGAGUGGUAACCGUUAUUAUUGGGUCUAAAGGGUCUGUAGCCGGCCGGAUAAGUCUCUUGAGAAAUCUGGCGGCUUAACUGUCAGGCUUUCAGGAGAUACUGUCUGGCUCGAGGCCGGGAGAGGUGAGAGGUACUUCAGGGGUAGGGGUGAAAUCUUGUAAUCCUUGAAGGACCACCAGUGGCGAAGGCGUCUCACCAGAACGGACCUGACGGCAAGGGACGAAAGCUAGGGGCACGAACCG
RNAcentral lists this ribosomal RNA (387 nucleotides) under uncultured bacterium. Its description in RNAcentral is "bacterial SSU rRNA". It matches the Rfam family "Archaeal small subunit ribosomal RNA", at positions 339 to 726 of the family's 1478-position model. The record is from RNAcentral.